AGUGCCAAGGAGAUGCAUUUUGGGGAGAGCAUCUUCCAGCUUAAAUGCUGAAAUACUGCAAUAGAAUUAUGGGCUGCUGAGAGUGUGUUUGACAGUGGUGCAAGGUCAGGGUGGACAUCAGAGGCUAUAACUGUGAUUCAGAGCUUCACCUUCUCGAGCAGAAGUGGCUCACAUUUUUGCAAUGAGAGCUGCUCUCUGCUUGCCGAUUUCAAAUGAAAUGUGCAAAAGAUGGUCCAGAAUGUUGAUUUCAUGCUAACUUUAAUGGUUAUUACUGAACUCCACUGCUGUGAAAUCAGGGUAGACCGAGGCUGGGCUUCUUAAGUCAGUGAAAGGAAAUCUGAAAAUCUGGAGAGAGGAUCUGAGAUAGAAUAUGGAAAACACAAGGAAGAUGGCUUUUAAGUUUGCAGAUGACACUAAACAACAAGUAGAGCUCUGGACAGCAACAAGCCUUUCUCUCCAAGAAACAUCUGCUCAAUGAAGAAGUAUGGCCUAAUUUAUCCAGAUUCUUCCUCCUGUAAUCUGAAUGCCAGUGAUGGUCUUCCAGAGAAGUACUACACUACCUGCUAGACUUACCCUUUCUAAACUUUCGGAAUUUGUAAAGUGCUCCUUUUUAUGUGUUUCCUGCAAGUGCCACAUUAAAUGACCAUGGGAUUCUUGGAAAAGCAGCAGGAAAUGAUAUAAUGGUGCCCGCAAGUUCUGUAUAUUGACUUUUCCACAGACUUGCUGGUCUUUGAGAGUAAGAGUUGCUGGUAAAACCAAGAUAUUUGAUCUUAUUCUCUUUUUCUUGAUUCUUGUUUAUGUGCUUGAAGCCCUGACCUUUUGCUCCUUUAUUAAGGGAAAAGAGAGAGCGAUUUCUGUAGCCGUAUUAUGGUAUGCAGAAGAAAAGACUUGGUUUAGCUGAGGAGGUGAAUGAGACCAGAGUGUUCCGUCACGAUUGAGAAUGAAGAAAAAUGACAGUACUCAAAACGGAUUCAUGCCUCUUGCCUGGAAUGAAACGUGGUCUUCUGAAACUGUGACACCUGGUAGGAAUCAGAAAAGAAUUUGUCUACUUCAGGUGUGCAAGAGGAAAAGAACACUUGAUAUUGGAUGCAUCGACCCCUUUUCAAGAAUCUUUUCCAGUGUAUGUAAACAAUGAAUUAACCUGAAAAAGCAGUUUUCAGAAAAAUGCUCUGGCAGUCAAUAUGUCAGAGUGUUGUUCCCAAUGUAAGUUUCAUUUACCUUCCUCAAAAUCUUAUAUGAAAGUGACAAAAAAUGUGGUCUGCAUACCAGGUUUGUUUUAUGUUCUGGCAUGUACAGUAUUAUUAUUCAUCAUUACGAGAAUAAAGACAGACAGUAGAGUCAUGUUACACAUUUCUAGGAAAUGUGGUAUAUGUACCAGUCAUCUGAAUCAGACACCUCUUUUAGUUUCAAAAACAUCUCGUUUAUUAUGAGAGCAUCACCUUUCCACAGAGGAUGCUGCUUUUGUAAAUGGAUGAGUUUGUUCUAGGUAAGAGGGCAUGGGAUUACUGGAGAAAAUUUUAUGGGAAAACUUUGUUGCAUUGCUGCCUUUUCUGCUGCUCCAAACUGGGAAAUUAGUAAAUGGUGGUAAUAUUCUCAAGGUCUUUAUGGCUGGAAUUUUUGGUGUCCUGCUAGAGCAUUUUAAAGGUCUUAGAACACACCGGAAAAAAAAAUAAUAAAAAUAGUAAUUGUUAAAAACAAACAAGCAAACAAAAAAACUUCAAUAAGGUUUUGAAUCAGAGCUUAAAUGAGAGCCUAAAUGUCUACUCACUCAGCCUUACUUAUCUCUAUAGCCAUCUACAGAUAUUGAACAUUUUAAUAGGGCAUUGAAUAUUUAUGCUUCACUGAAGUAGUGCUUAAAAAGCUUACUAAGGAGUUCAGCAGAAAGGGUGAAGUAAAAACAUUCUAAAUGUUUAAAAUAUUAAAAGUAAAGGAAAAUAAACAAGAGAAAGAGAUUCACCCCAUAUAUCUCAGUGAGGAAACAAGAAGGAUAUAUAAUAAAUAAAAUACAUUAACUGAAAUAAAUGUAUCGUGUAUGUUACAUUGGCUAUCUUUUUAUUCAUAGUUUACUGUUCACCAUUUCUUAUUAAAGAAUCUGAAGAAUAUAUAUAUUUUUUUGGUUUUAAAUGCUGAUUUGGAUUUCACGUAGGGAUUUAAUUGUUUCUGGACUUUCACAUUUUCUGUGAUUUUAGUAUUCCUCGUCGUGCCUGAGCUUCCCAGUGCCAUCUCUUGCUCUUGUUGUGCAACUAGAUCUGGAGUGCACAACUGGAUCUGGAGUAAUUUAUGAGCUAGAAAUGUCUUGUCACAGGUGUACUACAAGAAAAAAAAAAAGGGGGGGGGGAGCAGGAAGAAUAAUAUCAGUAAAGUUUGUAUGAAUCAGGAUGAUUGCUAUUUGAAUAGACUGUACAUCUACAGUGUCCAUUGUACCGAUUACUAGUUCAGAGACUGUAGUUGUCAUAGUAUUCUAGUUAAAUGGCCAAGGAAAAUGUUUUAAGUAUUCCAAGCAAAAUUGUGAUAACGGAAAUAAUAUGUCAGAAUAUGUCUUAAUAAACUAUCCACCUGUUUGUUUUUUUGUUUGUUUGUUUAGCUGAAAAAAUCUGUUCAAUCUGUUGUUUUUUCCCAAGAGCUAAUCUAAAUAUUAGUAGGGGAUAAAACACUUCUACAAAGGGAAACCAUCGUCUCUGGUAACAAGCAAUUUACAAGGAAGCAACUUCACCACAUGGUGGAGCUUUCUGCUCUCUUCGCAAGAAAAACGUGCUGAUUGCCAGAAUCCUCCAGCAGAGAAUGAGGCUCAUUUCUUAUAGCACUUGACUUGUACCACAUUGAAGGGAAAGGCUCAGGACCAGCAGCAGAUGCAGGAGCAUUACUUAAUAAAUUGCUAAUCUGUCCUCAUUAACAAUGAAGUCCUUCCAGAGUGGAUAUUAAGACAAAGAGCUUUUGGCAUUUGUGCAGACUUAAGGGAACAUCUGUGUCUGUGAUGGCAGAAGAUUCAUUGUGUGAUAAUGGAAAUGAAACCUCAAAGGAAAAUCCUUUUGCUGAUAAAAAAACAGAAAUGGGCCACAAGACCACUUCCAAUGAGCACGUUGGUGGCUGAAAGCUGGAUUUCAUUUGCUCUGCAUCCUUGGUCUAAAGAAAGAAAGUUUGUGCUGGCUAAAGGAGUUUGGGACUGAAUAAGGAAAUGAGAAUACAACCUGAAGCGGCAAAUUGGGUACAUUUCCAAGAGAGGAAGGAGGGAGGGACUAUCCAGAGGUUUUAAGGUAAUAUUCAACAAGAGAGGCACAAACUGUGAAAGAACUAGUGCAAGUGGAUUUUGUGGGCCUUAAAAAUUCUUGGGUACUUACACCAUUCUUUUGACAUACCUCCGUACAACUGUUUAAAGGGAUGAGCCUACCCAACUCGAUGUAUCCUCCUUGGUUCAUUUCCUCCACCUCUCCUGCAGUUGCAGUAGGUAUUAUGCUGCUGAAUGGCAGCUGAAUCAAAGAACUGAGCUGCUAAAACCUACUCUGGGAUGGGAUAGCCGAAAGUACUGUGAAGAAGUGCUGAAUUCAGAUGAUCACGUAACUGCAGGCUGAUGGACCUGGCUUUUCUGAGUAAUUGUGUUGUUGGGAUAUCCUGGAAAACAAGUGGAACAAGCUUGUGUCUUUGCAGACAAUACUUUUAAUAGCUGUGCUUGGGAUUUUUCCUUGGACAAAAGAUGAUAAUUUGCUGAUGAGAUGACUGUAGUGUAUCUGAAGUGUCUUCCUAUGCCAUACAAUAGUAGAAUAAAUAACAUUCCUUAUGCAGUAAAUUAAGUAGAUCUGGAUUUUGUGUUCCCAUUUUUCAUGAAUUGUGAUCUCAGAGAGGUCAAAAGGAAGUUCAGAGGCUUGUCUGUUGGGGCACAGAAGUCCUUGCUUUGCUGGAAAAAAAUGCUGACUACACUGUUUCAAUUCUCCUUAGAUAAGAACUUCAUCCCAUGCAUUUCAAAACAUUGCAAAACUAAAGUUGUGUUUUUAGUGAGUAUUAGAAAUGGUGCAGAACUGUGUUCUAAUGUUUGGAGGACAAUGAAAACCAACUUGAAACAACCAUUCUGUUUUUCAAAACAUUGACAGCUCUUCAUGACCUCAUCCUGAGCCAAAAUGAGACUUUCUAAUGGACAAAUAAGUUCCCCAAAGACUAUUAGAAGCAAUUGUGCAAAGGUUUUAAUCUCAUCCAAAAAAUAUAUAUAUAUAAAAAAAAUGGGGGGGGGGAGGAGGGAGGGGGAUUCUGAUUACUUGGUUACUUUUUGUCAUUGUGAAAUUCCUUGAUCUUCUUUUCCUCUUUUUUUUUUUUUUUUUUUUUUUCCUAAAAUGUGAGAAUUCUCUCUCUCUCUCUCCCCUCUCUCUUUUCUCUUUUAAUGUUAUAAAAUUGUCUUCUGCAUUUUCAGUGACUCCUAGGUCUGGCUUGCAAUGACUCACGUAAGCCUGGAAAAUAAUUUAGUUACAGUGCUUUCAGAAAGGUCUCUGGUGAAAUGAGUAUGUCUGUAGGAUGCACAUCAUACUGCUGGAUAGACAAAGCUGCACAAAACACAGAUUCCCUUGUAGAAGUAGUAGCUACAGCCUAUUGCAAUUGAAAAGUAAGUUUAUCUAGGUGUCCAGUUACUUUCUUGCUGCUUGAAAGUAGAAAGCUGCAAGUUAGAGGGAGUGUCACACAUGUCAGGGCAGUGCUGCAGGCCUUGUACUUUGGUUGCAUUGGCUGUAAAAGCUGGUGGGACAUGGUCUGCCCCACCAUGGGUGCUUGGCUCUGCUUGUGGCUCCCUUUGUCUUUUGCCACUGUCUUAGCAUUAGGCUUUAAAAUGCUUGUGUAAGCAUUACCCUGAUUUUGCUCUUGACAGUUUUCUGAAUUUGAUGUAUUCUGUUGUGGAUUGUACUGUCACAGAAAUGUAUAUUUUAAUAGUCAUGGUAAUCAUCUAAUGAAUAAAAAUAGACCUAUUAUGGUGAUGUAAGAUCAGUUAACUACAUAAGGAGCUUUUUAAAUGAAAGAUUUUUUAUGUGGGACGUGAAUUCAUGAGAAAAUUGAACUGCGAUGGGAGUAUUCCCCUUGAUCCAAGUCUGAUAAAUGUCAGUAAGAGUUAUGAGCACGCAGAAAUUGAAGAGUGAAACCUUCUGUAUGAAAUUAAGCUGUCCAAACAAACUCAUGGGAAGACGGUGAUUUAACAGAGUCCAGCAGAUGAAUUUUACUCUCAGUUCAUGAAGGCAAUGGCUUUGACAACAUUACCCAGGAAAUCCCAUAUCUGCUUUUUUAUCCAGCUGUGCAUCUCUAAUAUCCUUGGGGCCUGAACAGGUGAACUGAGAUUAUAAUUUGAGAAUGGAACGUAUUUCUUUGAAAUCCAACUGGCUUGUCUUCUGAUCAUAGUUCUUCUAGCUCUAAAAGUAAAUGUUCUCAAACUAAGAGGAGUUUGUGCUUUCCCACAAACCUGAAUGUGGAACAGCAUCAUUACCUAUCACUGUUUUCUACAGAGUUGAAUAUUUUUAGCAUUACUGAUAAUUAGCUCUCUUAAAGGUGCAAAAGUUUCCUUCUUCGGUGUUUCCAAAUAAUUUUUUCCCCAUCUGUUUUAUAUACUUCAGCAUCUUGGAGGGAUGGUACUUUUUUCUUUUUUUUCUUUUUUUUUUCUUUUCCAGGCAUCGCUGAAAACAUCAGUCUUUUCUGAACUUUCACCUUAGAAAUGGAAUGUCCCCUUCCCAUGUAAGAACAUUUUAGAAAGGUCCAAGUUUAACUGCAAUGCUGAAAGAAAGGGGAGAUUUAAACUGAAUCUCCACAGGAAUGGGCAAGCAUGGGGAGGACAGCCUGCUGUUUGCUUCGAUUUUUCUAUGUGCAGAGUCCACCCACUGGUGUUGUUUUUUUUCCCUAGCUGAGUAUUUGAAAAUGCAACAUGACCCUAUGCAUCAAAUGUGAGACUUUUACGCUCAGAAAGAUGCCACUACACGUUUUGCAGUAAAAGGUUAACGUCCUGUUUUACAUCCACUUAAUGACAAUUGAAAUCAAAUCUAUAACUAUUGUAGUAUUCAUUCACAGUAAAACAACCCCCGUACAUUUCUGGAUUCAAUAGAGCGUAUUGAAGCAGGCUGCUGUGUUGUUCUGGCUGCUAAACUGCUUGUGGAGUUCAACAGCCAACCCUGAACCCUGUCUGUGAUCUGAGUGAAUCCUAGAGUUCUUUAGAGAGGCUGUUGUAAGGGUCAUGGGAAGUGGAGGAUGCCUCCAACUUCAGGGAUAAGCUCUUGAAGCCAGUUUACUGUUUUCUCUUAAAAAGCACUCUGCAUCCUCCUGUCAGAUGAGCUCUGAAUUCAUGAGUCUCUGGCUGCUCGUUGUGCUUUUAGUGUUUGGUAGUAACUUCAGAUUGCAGUUUGUGAUGCCAGCGCUGGCAGUAUUAGAGCCAUAUAAAUGUCAGGUUUAAAUUGUCCCCUUGUUUUAAUACUUUGGGCUUUCUUCUAUCAAAGGGAAAGGAAAUUAAUAUAUUCCCUGUUGAUGUGUUAAGAUAUACAAGCUAAUUAAAUCUAUGUAAAUCAUUAAUGUUAGCAGUUUUAAUGUCUUUGGUAGUGCUGUAUCACCAUCGCAUGAUAGGACACUGCUUUAUCUGUGAAAUGUAGCAAUCCCUGGGAACUGCCAUUGAUGUGAAGUUUUAAUCUCCAGUGUGGUUUCUUCAACUAAAAACUGGUGUAUCUGGAAGCCAAGCAAGAGGUGGGAAAUAGGAGCUGUAAUACAGAGGGAGAAGUGGACAGGUUUUUCUCCUGUUGUUUUUGGAGGUCUAGAUCGUGUUCUCUGAGGGAUUUGGGAUGUUAGUGUUAAAACCUAUUUUUCGUGGGGGAGGAAAUUUUCCUUAGUAAGACCUCUAUCAGUAACACGAGUUCAAUGUUUCUACAUGUUUGUCACAUUACUCAGGGCUCUUUCUCAGAUUAUUCUGCUUCUGUUGGAGUUUGUGGUGCAGACAAACCACAAAAUGAAGAACUAAAGCUGGAUAUCCUGGCCGUUAGGACCAGCACAGCAGCAAGGUAUCUUACUGUAAAGAUGCCACCAGGAGUCAGCUGGAAAGUGGUGAUAAGUCUUUUAAUGGAGACAUGAUUCUGGGCUGAAACAUGUUCCUUUUGGCUGCGUGCUUUCACUUGAUGGAUGGUCUGACGCACAGAGAGGAUGUUAGGGCACGUCUGUCCUAUGUACUUAAAGCCAAACAACAAAGCCAUUCCAAGGAUGGUGAAUUUAGGUAAGGCACAGGUAGCUUGAUAUGUCGGAGAUCUAACAACCUUUGUUUUACAGAAUUCACUAUGAAAAAAAUAAACUACAGCAUAGAAAACUUAGAAUUAUUAUGCUCCAUCCUUCUGGGGAAGUUGAAUACUGGAGCAUACACCCUUUAGUCUCUAUUGCGGCUGAAGGAGGUGUGUACAGAAGAUGCUUAGAAUUUGAUUGGGAUGAGUGAGUUGAGUUCAGAGAAAAAUCUACAGAGUAAAUAGAACAUGGCUAAGUGGUUUCCACCAAUGUUUUUACUCUGUUUAGAUGCCAUGCACAUGUGACAAAAGGAGAAAUUAAAGGGGUGGUGCAGAAUACAGGUGCCUGAUUUCACUGAGCUCUGGGUGGGGCAUUUCUGGAGCUAUUCUGAGGCUCUUCUCCUUUGUGCUAAUGGAAAUCCCUGAUUUCUGGGAGGCUUCAAACAAGAUACACCUGGAGCUCUGGACUUCACAAGCCUCACUACUUAUGGUCUGAGAGAUACUUGCAUGGUAAUGAGGCUUGUGACUUCUUAGUCCCUUAAUUAUUUAGCUAAAUAAGUAUAGUACAAUGGACUGAACCACAAUAAUGGAAAAGUAGGAUUUCUCAGCUAGUGGCAGUAUUUUUGAUUAGCUCAGGGCAAAGGGGAAAAGCAGUCUGUGCGCUUCUCUACAGGAAAUGUAGCAGAGAGAACUUAAUGUUCUUUCUUGUCAGAGGCUGCAAAUAAAAGUUAACUACAACAGACCAUUGAUUUAUGCAACUGAAACCUUUGCCACAUUGUGCACAGAGCUAUUACAGAAAGAAAUACCAAGUUAGGAACAAGAGAAAACUCUCUGUAAACUCAUCCCUUUCCUCGCAAGGUUCUGAGCAACAAAUUAUGUCAAUAGAAUCUAAUAACAAGAGUGGUUUUUUUUGGCCUGUUUUGCUCUGUUUUAAUAAUGUGACCUAAAAUACCUGCAACUUUUAUGAUGGAGAAAGGCCCUGGCAAUUCACUUGAUGAUGUGACAAGUUGCUGGUCCCAACAAAACUUGGAGCAGUCUAUUCUGUCCUGACGAUCCAAUACCAGUACCAUGGAGAGGUGGUGUUGGAGCUGUCUAUAGGAACUUCAGGAAGUUUAUGCCCACAAUGGCUGUUAAUGAAGUAUAUUACUGUGAAUAAUACAUAAUCAUCAUAUGAUAGACACAGAGUACCUCAAAAUUUGUGAUAAAUUGCAUGAUAUUCCUGUGAAAUGAAGAAAUACUCUGUAUUUAUUGUUAGGAAGUGAGGCAUAAAAAUGCAAGACCUUGCCCCAAGACUUCAAUAAAAUGAGAGAAAGAUAAGUAGUUAUUUAAUACAGGUCCUUAAGCUGCCACCACUAAUCCAUUUGCUGACUUUUAAAGUGAGUUUGUGUUAGCUGUGCAUUUAGUAUCUAGGAAAUUAAUUUUGUAAUAAAAUUAGUUAAGUAGUAGUGCUGAAGAAAUGGGAAAUGAACAUCAGAUGGCAAUAUUUUCCUGUGUUAAACUCUAGGAAUAAUUAUUAAUAUCUAUAAUCUGAGAAGAUGCUUAAAGUAAAUGGUGAAAAAGUUACAGUACUUAAUGGAAUUGAAAAGUAAUUAAGAUACUACAAUUUUUGAGAAAGAGUGAACUGCUGGGUAACAUGUACUUGUCUGAAUGGCAGGUAUUUUGAUGCCUCCAAAAGAGAGGUCAUACAUCGGGGGCCAGUGAGUACAGGUCAUGCUCUGAGGUGGGGCUGGGACCCAGGAGAUCAGCAGCUCUUGUGUUGUGCCAGGGCUGUCCCCUGGGAAAGGGCCUGCUAGUCCUGUGGGAAAAUGCAUUCACACUUGUCUGUUAGCAAAGACCUAAAAUGCAAACAAUUCUUGCUUUACAUGGGCACGAAUGGUCUCUCAGACACAUGAAGCAAUGAUGACAGUCAUUCCAGUGCGGUCAUUGCAAACAGUCACCCAGCGUGAUCCAGCCUGGUUUGGUGGGGUGGCACUUUGAGGGAUCACCUCAUCCAUGAAAAAGUGAUGCUUUAAGGACUGCAGCUGGCCCACCCUUGGAUUCUGUUCCCUACCCAGCUCCUAGGAAUUUCACUUGACAGCACCCUGGCUGCUGUGUGCUGCCGCUUUAAGGCAUGCACAGCACUGCCAGGCUUCAGGUCCUGCCACUGCAGGAGCACCAGGCGCAGGCAGCAAUCCUCUGAUCAGGGCUCGGCACUCUCUCGCUGCUCUUUACUUAAUAACGUUUGCCUGCUUAGCAGACAGCUGCCCGGUGAGCUGAAGGCUUUCUUCUAGCGUGGCAGAGUUUCACCUGGUGCUGGCAGCAGCUCCCACCAUGGCAGCAGCUCCAGGUGCUGCUGCAGUAAAAACUGCAAAGUCCUGCAAAAAGUACCAGACAGUGAAGCGGCAUGCCAGCAUCUACACCUACCAGGAGCCACCCCACAGGUAAGGCAUCCUGCUCUCUUCUGAAGUGCAAAUAUUCCUUAUUGGGCAGAAAUGUGGGGUCUUGUCUUUUGCCUUUCAUUUCGUCAGAGUGUAGUAAUGUUAAAAGGAGUAUGAGAAAAAACACUCCUCUCUCUAUUUUUAGAUGUACUUUAAACCUCUUUUCUUCUCUUUUUCUUCUCAUAAAAGUAAUGUUUCAUACUGCAUCAUAAACAUCUUCAGCAUAACUCCAGUGAAUUCAGGGCAUAUCAGGGUAAUAAAUCUCUCUAUACUUUUCCUGUGUAUUAUAAUUUCCCUUGAAUAUCCACUGUGACCAAAGGUCAGAGUGGGGACUGUGGAUCAAUGGACCAGCAAUCUGACUGAGUAUAUCCUUUGGAUGCUGUUAGAAGAAAAGGUUUAGGUUGAUUUAUUUCAAAGUGAUUCAAAAGUGUUCAGUUCUGUUCAUAUCAUGCAAGGGGAAAUUGUAGCAACAGGUUUUUAGCUGUGAGUCCCUGCAAGAGUGAAUAUUGCUGGUGUCACUUACAGUAGCCUGUUUAAAAUGAGAUGAGAGAGCUGUAGCUUAG
Anas platyrhynchos (mallard) is the source of this 10191-nucleotide non-coding RNA. The record is from RefSeq and is a predicted model, not a curated record. NCBI's taxonomy places the organism in Eukaryota, Metazoa, Chordata, Aves, Anseriformes, Anatidae.